GGGUAGUUUGACUGGGGCGGUCUCCUCCUAAAGAGUAACGGAGGAGCACGAAGGUUGGCUAAUCCUGGUCGGACAUCAGGAGGUUAGUGCAAUGGCAUAAGCCAGCUUGACUGCGAGCGUGACGGCGCGAGCAGGUGCGAAAGCAGGUCAUAGUGAUCCGGUGGUUCUGAAUGGAAGGGCCAUCGCUCAACGGAUAAAAGGUACUCCGGGGAUAACAGGCUGAUACCGCCCAAGAGUUCAUAUCGACGGCGGUGUUUGGCACCUCGAUGUCGGCUCAUCACAUCCUGGGGCUGAAGUAGGUCCCAAGGGUAUGGCUGUUCGCCAUUUAAAGUGGUACGCGAGCUGGGUUUAGAACGUCGUGAGACAGUUCGGUCCCUAUCUGCCGUGGGCGCUGGAAGAUUGAGGGGGGCUGCUCCUAGUACGAGAGGACCGGAGUGGACGCAUCACUGGUGUUCGGGUUGUCAUGCCAAUGGCACUGCCCGGUAGCUACAUGCGGAAGAGAUAAGUGCUGAAAGCAUCUAAGCACGAAACUUGCCCCGAGAUGAAUCUUCCCUGAGCCUUUAAGGCUCCUGAAGGAACGUUGAAGACGACGACGUUGAUAGGCCGGGUGUGUAAGCGCAGCGAUGCGUUGAGCUAACCGGUACUAAUGAACCGUGAGGCUUAAC
RNAcentral lists this ribosomal RNA (665 nucleotides) under Salmonella enterica. RNAcentral's name for it is "partial 23S ribosomal RNA". It matches the Rfam family "Bacterial large subunit ribosomal RNA", at positions 2263 to 2925 of the family's 2925-position model. Lineage: Bacteria; Pseudomonadati; Pseudomonadota; Gammaproteobacteria; Enterobacterales; Enterobacteriaceae. The record is from RNAcentral.